UGACCCGUUAGUUAUUUUUAGCUCUAGAAAACCUCCUCAUCCGAAUAAGAAGAGGGGUAGGAUUAUUUCUGCGAAUGAGAAAUCUAAACCCUCAGAUGACGAGAGGGGUGCGCCUCGAAAGCAAAAGAUCUCAAUGAAGGAGGCUCAUGUUGUUGUUAGUGGAGAUCAGAUUUCUCCAUUAGGCUUUAAUGAUGAAGAUGUUUAGCUUAAUUAUGCUGGUUGUGACGGGCUCUUACUUUCCCCAUUAUUCAUAUUUGUGUUCGCUUGGAACUGCCAAGGAGCUGAAAAUAAAAAAUUCUUAGUUGUUAUAAGCGAAUUUAUUCAUCAGUAUAAUCCUUUGAUUUGUAUUAUUCUCGAGUCAAGAAUUAGUGGUGAUAAAGCAUUAAGAAUUAGUGGUGAUAAAGCAUUACAUGUGAUUAGAAAGUUGGAGUUCUCUAAUUCCUUUAGAGAAAAGGCUUGUGGCUUCUCCGAUCGAAUCUAGGUGAUGUGGAACAAGAAUAUGGUCCGAUUGCAAAUUUUAGAAUUUAGUUCUCAAUUUGUGCACUUCAGUUGAGGUGAGGGGUCUUCUUUAAAUGUUUGUACUCCUGUGUAUGGUAAUCCUACUCCUAUUGCUAGAACGCUUCUUUGGGAUAACAUCUGUCGAAUUGCUACAAGAAUUAGUGAGCCAUGGGUUUUGAUUGGGGAUUUUAACGAUUAUUUGAAUUUGAAUGAGAAAAUAGAGGGUACUCCCCCCUCGCUUGUGAAAUGCCUUGAAUUUCGCCGAUGUUUAGAUGAUUGCUAGUUGUAGGAUCUUAGGUUUGUUGGCACUCAGUUUACUUGGCAAUGCAGUAGAGUCAAGGAACAUAUUGAUCAAGUGGUUUCUUCUUUAUCUUGGAGAGUUAAAUUCCAUGAGGCUGUUGUGCAUCACUUCCCCUGCAUCAAAUUUGACCAUUGCCCCCUAUUGCUAUCUCUAUUUGGUGCUCACUCUCCCCUAGUUAAUAGAAAGCCUUUCCGAUUUCAAAUGGCCUCACUUACCCAUGCUAGUUUUACAAACUUUGUUAAAAAUAAUUGGUCUUCUCACAUGGACUUGUCUCAGAAUACUAGUAAUUUUAUUGCUAAAGUCCAAGAGUGAAAUAAGAACAUUUUUAGUAAUGUGUUUAUUAGAAAGAAAAAGCUUAUUGCUAGAAUUGCUGGCAUCGAUAGAGCUUUAGGGACUAAUGACUUCAAGAAUCUUCAUGAGCUUCGGCUCAUCCUUUCUAAGGAGUUUGAGGAAAAUUUGCUUCAAGAAGAAUUAAUUUGGUUCCAAAAAUCCAGAAACAAAUGGCUUCUUUUUGGCGACCGUAACACACAUUACUUCCACAAUUCUACCAUUUAUCAGAGGCGUCGUAAUCAUGUUGAGGCUUUAAAAAAGAUUUUCGUAUUUGGAUCCAUGAUGCUAAUCUUCUUAAAUCUAUGGCUGUCUGUUUUUACAAUAGGCUUUAUAUGGAAGAAGGCGGUUCAAUGCUUUAUGGACUUCCUGAGAUGCAUUUCCCACUCAUUCUCUUUGAUUAACAACUCCAUCUUUUAGAGGAAGUGACUUUGGAAGAAACUCGGAGAGCUUUUUUCGACAUGGGGGCCUAUAAGGCUCCUGGUCCGGAUGGGCUUCAACCUAUUUUUUAUCAAACUCAGUGGAGCACAGUGGCAAAUUCCCUUCACAAUAUGGAAGCAUUCAAUUCUAUGAGGAGAAUGUCUUCUAAAAAAGGAUGUAUGAUCAUCAAAGUCGACCUUGAGAAGGCCUAUAACUAGCUGUGAUGGAGCUUUAUUAAGGAUACUUUAGCAUUGGCGAACCUCCCUAAUAUGUUAAUUAAUAGAAUUAUGACCAACAUUACAACUCUUAACAUGCGUGUCUUGUGGAAUGGUGAAGCAAAUGAGAAUUUUCAACCAUCUAGGGGCGUUCGCCAAGGAGACCCGUUGUCUCUUGUCCUUGUAUGGAGCGUCUAGCUCAUAUUAUUGAUCGUUUCAUGCAGGAUGGUAAUUGGAGUCCUGUCCACAUUAAUCGUGGUAGCCCUAGUUUGACUCAUUUAUUUUUUGCAGAUGACCUUCUCCUAUUUGCGGAAGCUACUCUCAUAUUUCCAGUAAGGAAGCGGCUAUUGAAGGUGAUCCUAUCAGUUGCAUCAGAAGUCGUUGUCUCGAGAUCCUCGCUAGUGAGGAAAGUCCUAAGCACCUUCCUAUACAACGUCCGUUGCGAACUAUGGGUUUGGUGGAGUGGCUUCCGCCGAAUAGUGGCAAAGAGAAAUUGAAUGUUGAUGGCUUUGUGAUUAUGCAUAAUGGGCAUGCUUCUGUAGGUGGUCUAAUCAGGGAUGAGUUAGGCUCUUUGGCCUGAGAAAAAGGCUUCAGGAGAGUUGACCUGGAGCUUGACUCCUUGGAAGUAGUUAGAAUUAUCUCUGAUGAUCUUUCUUUGAUGGGAAACAAUGGCUCUUUACUGGCUUAAAUUAAGACCCUAAUUUCUAGAUCAUAGGAUGUUAGCUAUGCUCAUGUGUUGAGAGAAGCUAAUUGGCUUGCUUAUGCAGCCCGUGAUACAACCUUAGAAGUGCAAGUUCUGAUUGCCCCCAAUUGACCUAUUCCUGUGUUGUUGAGUGAUGCUAUUAAUUCUUUUUGUUUUUUCUUU
Molecule: long non-coding RNA, 2626 nt
Organism: Ricinus communis (castor bean)
Lineage: Eukaryota; Viridiplantae; Streptophyta; Magnoliopsida; Malpighiales; Euphorbiaceae
Exons: 2
Source: RefSeq, a predicted model, not a curated record